AACUGGGGAAUUAGUUAACACAUCUUUAGGAGAUGACAGGGAUAUCUUCGAUCGGGGAUCGACAAAAUACGUCCACAAUGAUAGCAAAAGACAUUACGCCAAUCAACGGACUUCCUUUGGAUGAUCUCGAAGUGCCAUCUGGUGGUGUAAUGGAGAUGAAUAACGGUCUUUCUUUUCAAUUCGAUCCCGAACUACUCCUGCAAACAACGGGUUAUAACCCUCAGGAUGUUUCCAUGCCGAUCAGAAAUCAGGUUACCCACACUUCAGCGUUAGCUGUUAGUACUCCUACACUUAAUCGUGUAAAGAAUUCACAGUCAGAUGGUUUACCACGACCACAGACUCCUUGUAGACUUCCACCAAUGGCGUCGUUUCUUGUAAAUAUUUCUACUGAUGCAGAAAGACCAUCUUCAGAAAUUAAUAAUCCGUUUAAUUCAACACAUACGACUUCUACGGUGAGUACUUUAAAAAGAGUAAGUCAUAAAAGAACAAACAGAAGUCAAAGUGCACGAUAUGCGCACAAUAGUUUUCCACGACUUUCGCCAGCGCCACCUAGUUAUCAGCCUGCUCAAUCACCAUCAACUUUAAUGAUGAUGACUGGUUAUAAUAACUUAGCCGUUGGCUAUUUUUUAAAUCCAGAACAACGUACCAAGAUAGUUUCUACUAUCGACUCUAGAAAGGUCACAUCAAGCCGAGGUAAAAGGGUUGACAGAGAAGAUACUACACUAUCCUCAGUUCACGUGCUACCCACAAUGCACUUAGAUAUUUUACCGUCCCCAGGAGCUGCCAGUGUAAGUUCUCCAGGUAGCCAUACAUUAACACUAAGCACCAAUCCAAGUCCUAGUUGUUCUAGUUUCUCUGGUGAGCUGAGUACAUCCUCAUUUGUAACAUCUCAUCUUCAUGGAGAUUGUAACCAAAGCUUAGACAAUUCUCCUUUCAUGAACUCGUCUUCUAGUCACCAGCCAGUUAUAGAUUCACUCGUUAACUCCCUUGUUUCUGCGUCGGAAGGUAUCCAGAACUUUGCUGAGACAAGUUCAGAUAAUUUCUUAAAUUGUCAGGAUACUGUUUUGGAUUCUCUUCUUUCUGCUUCAUCUUCAGACCAACUUUUUAAUAGUGUUUCUGACUCCGAUUUGAUGAUAACGACGACAGACUCGGGAAGUGUUCUUGGCCUUCCUGAUAUUCACUUUGGCACUCAAGAGCCUUCUGUUGAUCAAAGUGACAUUUCUUCAAUCCUCCUACAACCACAAGAGCCGUUAUUAACCAAUCCUGUGCCUGAUCCUGCUAACCCCAUUUCUUCUGAUCUACCACCGGCUGCAAGUAAUACGACUGUGCCAUAUUUACCCUGCACAUCAAUUCAAGAAGUCAAGGAAGAAACCACCUGGAGCAGGUAUUCAAUUUUGCCCUCAGUUGGAAACAUCCAAACAAAUGCCAAUGAGUUUGCUCUUCCAUAUCACAACGUGAUGGCACCAAGCGGUGCUCUCUGUCAGUACUCUGGGACACAGAGCUCUUUAUCAGGAUUUCAUUCGAGUUGUGCGGAAAUGUACCCACCAACUUCUAAUUUUGUCAGUCCUCGUCAUUCUGCAAGGUCAUCUUAUUCAGGCCGUGGUUCACGUGCAACUGGAAAAAGAGCUUUGUCGAUCUCUCCUUUGUCAUCGGAUGGGUUAGACUUGAAUACUCUAAUCAGGAUAUCUCCCACAUCCCUGGUAUUUCAAUGGAAUGGGUCUCGAAGUUCUUCAGCAAGUAUGUCUCCUGCUUCUGGAGAAAGACAUGGUUGUUACGGUCACUUGUCUGCCAGAAACAGCAGUAGCAGUCCACACUCAGGUUCUGGUUCUUCAGCUUACAGGAUGAGCAUCUCUUACACUCCACAAACAAAUACCAGCGGCAAAGAUGCUAAGGAUGAUGUAUUGGACAUCGAUAGUCACUUCUUGGCCUGCCAAGAUAUGCAGAAUCUUGAACAAGGAAAUUACGCUUUGUCCGAAGAGUUUGCCGUGCCGGAUCAAGUAAUUAUCCCACAAAAUAAUCUCCAGGUAGUGGAACAGCAAGAUAAUAUGUUUAAAACUGAACAAUAUGAUGGCGCUUGUAUGUAUUCUUCUUCCAAUACAGCACCCUUUAGACUACCACCGCCACCUCCUCCACCCUUGCCGCCAUUGUCAAAUCGUCCUCCUCCUUCUUAUGAUCAACACAUGGCCCGAAAAAUUGCUUUACAAAAGAAAAGUUCUUCAGAUAGCAGUCAUCCGUCGAGCUAUUCCAGCUUUGAUAGCUCAGAAGGUGACCGAGUUGGCGAAGGUAACGACAGUGAUCAGGGAGUCAAACAGCACCACGUUUGCAGGUGGAUCGACUGCAGCGCAGUCUUCAGUGAACAAGAAGAUUUAGUGAAACAUAUUGAGAAAGCCCACGUUGACCAAAGGAAAGGUGAAGACUUUACUUGCUUUUGGCAAGGAUGUACACGUCGCUUUCGUCCCUUCAACGCUCGUUACAAACUGCUCAUCCAUAUGCGAGUUCACUCUGGAGAAAAGCCCAACAAAUGCAAGUUUGAAGGGUGUAACAAGUCUUUUUCGCGCCUGGAGAAUCUGAAGAUUCACCUUCGAUCCCAUACAGGAGAGCGGCCAUACGUGUGUCAGUACGAAGGUUGUUCUAAAGCGUUCAGUAAUUCAUCUGACAGAGCCAAGCAUCAACGAACUCAUCAAGACACUAAACCUUAUGCCUGUCAGAUACCCGGAUGUUCUAAAAGGUAUACUGAUCCAAGUUCACUCAGAAAACAUCAGAAAAACCAUCAGCCUAAAGUGGACCCAGUGAGGAAAAGGUUAAGAGGUGGUCCUGGAGAAAUGGAUCCCCAAAACUUGCAGGAAUGUCUUACGAUUCAGCCAAUAAGGAUAAGUCAGAGUUGCGGAUCCCCUCCUCUUCACGAACAUAGUGACAAUGGAUUAGGACGUUCUCCCCUAAAUUCCCUUCAAGGUUCCUCUAGCGACUCCUAUCCGGGUAUCUCGUUAAUACCCAGCAACCAGUCAAGUAGGAGUAUCAGUAGUCACACUUCUCCAGUUAGCCACCAGGGGAGUCCGGCCCUAACAGAAAUCACAGAAUGUAAUGAUACGAGACAGCAGACAAACACAGGUCGAAGAGUUCCGAUGCUGCCACCUAUUGGACAUAAUAAUCAACAAGUAUCUCGACAAGAUAGUUCUCAGCGUUUACGACCACAGUCUUUAGUCGGUCGCCCUUUGAACUCGAAUAACGAGGGUUCGACGUUAAUAAGCCUAGAUCUUCCAACUAAUACCACGUCGAGAGACCAAGCUCGUAGCGCCUCAGGAGCAGUUACCACAGAAAGGUAUGGUAACUCAACUUACCUGAGCUCGACUGGUUCCUUUUGUAGUCGCUUCUCUUCUAGAUGUCAAAGUAACCUUUCCGGGCUUCCAGUUGUAGAAGACUUCCCUUCAGGACUUGGCCUGGAUGCCUUUUCACACACUAGCGGAAUAUCGUGAAGAUUUCCCUUAUUUCAGCCAGAAGUUAUAAAAUGAAAAUCUUCAUCACUAACGGAAAACGGAUAGUUCCGGAUAGUGACGCUUGGAAGAAGUGAAAAAAUAAAUAAAACAUUCGGAAGUUCCAGCGUUGUUGUACGAAAAGAUGGGGCUUUUGAAAACGAAGUCUGUGUUUAUUGAAUAUAUAAUAUUUUAUAGACCGUAAGAAUAUUAUACACUCCAUAAGACAAAUUGUAUCAUUUCAUAUAAUGCUACAAGAUAAGUUUUCCUUGUUUGUUUUUUUAUUACACGAUCUCAAAACAGAAGAAAUUCAUGUUUAGAGAUUUAGAGUAAGUACUGACAUGGAACAUAUAUGUUCUGUAUUUGUUUUUAUUUUUUCAUCCAGGUCAAGAAAUCAUCCUGAAAAUGGGAGUGAUUGAUAGCAUAGUGUAGUGUAAAGACAUAUUCUAUACAUCCUGUUUUUUUAGGCAUUUAACUUUUAUUACUUUUAUUUCUUGUUACGUGUCUGUUGGGUUAUAAAGCUUUGAUGUAGUGGCAGGUAUUCGAAUAAAAACCAAGUUAUCUUAAUAUGUAGAAUGGUGAAAUAUUGCUAACAUAGGUUCAUAACGGUUAGCUUAUUAAACCUAUUAAUACAUUACUAUAUUUUUUAUCAUUCAAGUUCGGUUCAAUAAAUACGUAAAAGUUUAAAAAAGUUUGAAUAAAAUACUCUGUUUUUAAAUUAAAUGAGAUAACAGCAUUACAUCCUUUACAAAGGAACAAUAGUGUAUUUCGAAUGUAACGGUGGAGGUUUAAAAAAAACAACAAAGAGGGGGCGAUGUAUACACCACUGCACUGGAGUUAAUUUUUUAGAUAUUGAAAUGUCCAAUCAUAACAUAUAGAUAUAUUUUUCUUUUGUAAAACUGGAUUUAUCUUAAAUUAACAGCGGUAGCUGGUUGAUAGAAUGUAAUUUUCCAAAAUAUACUUUGUUUAACAAAUAUAUGAUUUACCUUCGGAUCGAAUUACACUACCAUUUAAAGUCUCGUCCCAACAGGAUAUUGAAUUAUCAAUAGAAGUAAGCUUAACGUGCAUAUUCAACGUGUUCAGAUAUCUACAGGUUUGGGUUUAUCGUGUUCAGAUAUCUGCAGGUUUGGCUUUAACGUGUUCAGAUAUCUAUAGAUUUGGGUUAAACGUGUUCAGAUAUGUACAGGUUUGAAUUGAACAUGUUCAGAUAUCUAUAGGUUUGGGUUCAACAUGUUCAGAUAUCUACAGGUUUGGGUUUAACGUGUUCAGAUAUGUACAGGUUUGAAUUGAACAUGUUCAGAUAUCUAUAGGUUUGGGUUCAACAUGUUCAGAUAUCUACAGGUUUGAGUUUAACGUGCAUGUUCAACGUGUUCAGAUAUCUAUAGAUUUGGGUUUAACGUGUUCAGAUAUCUACAGGUUUGGGUUUAACGUGUUCAGAUAUCUACAGGUUUGGGUUUAACAUGUUCAGAUAUCUACAGGUUUGGGUUUAACCUAUUCAGAUAUCUACAGAUUUGAAUUAAACAUGUUCAGAUAUCUAUAGGUUUGAAUUAUACAUGUUCAGAUAUCUACAGAUUUGAAUUAAACAUGUUCAGAUAUCUAUAGGUUUGAAUUAAACAUGUUCAGAUAUCUACAGGUUUGGGUUCAACAUGUUCAGAUAUCUACAGGUUUGGGUUUAACAUGUUCAGAUAUCUACAGGUUUGGGUUCAACAUGUUCAGAUAUCUAUAGGUUUGGGUUCAACAUGUUCAGAUAUCUACAGGUUUGGGUUUAACCUAUUCAGAUAUCUACAGAUUUGAAUUAAACAUGUUCAGAUAUCUACAGAUUUGAAUUAAACAUGUUCAGAUAUCUAUAGGUUUGAAUUAAACAUGUUCAGAUAUCUACAGGUUUGGGUUCAACAUGUUCAGAUAUCUACAGGUUUGGGUUCAACAUGUUCAGAUAUCUACAGGUUUGGGUUCAACAUGU
RNAcentral lists this unclassified non-coding RNA (5430 nucleotides) under Limulus polyphemus (Atlantic horseshoe crab). RNAcentral describes it as "zinc finger protein GLIS3-like, transcript variant X4". Lineage: Eukaryota; Metazoa; Arthropoda; Merostomata; Xiphosura; Limulidae. The record is from RNAcentral.